CCUGGCUCAGCAUGAACGCUAGCUACAGGCUUAACACAUGCAAGUCGAGGGGCAGCAUGGUCUUAGCUUGCUAAGGCCGAUGGCGACCGGCGCACGGGUGAGUAACACGUAUCCAACCUGCCGUCUACUCUUGGACAGCCUUCUGAAAGGAAGAUUAAUACAAGAUGGCAUCAUGAGUCCGCAUGUUCACAUGAUUAAAGGUAUUCCGGUAGACGAUGGGGAUGCGUUCCAUUAGAUAGUAGGCGGGGUAACGGCCCACCUAGUCUUCGAUGGAUAGGGGUUCUGAGAGGAAGGUCCCCCACAUUGGAACUGAGACACGGUCCAAACUCCUACGGGAGGCAGCAGUGAGGAAUAUUGGUCAAUGGGCGAGAGCCUGAACCAGCCAAGUAGCGUGAAGGAUGACUGCCCUAUGGGUUGUAAACUUCUUUUAUAAAGGAAUAAAGUCGGGUAUGGAUACCCGUUUGCAUGUACUUUAUGAAUAAGGAUCGGCUAACUCCGUGCCAGCAGCCGCGGUAAUACGGAGGAUCCGAGCGUUAUCCGGAUUUAUUGGGUUUAAAGGGAGCGUAGAUGGAUGUUUAAGUCAGUUGUGAAAGUUUGCGGCUCAACCGUAAAAUUGCAGUUGAUACUGGAUAUCUUGAGUGCAGUUGAGGCAGGCGGAAUUCGUGGUGUAGCGGUGAAAUGCUUAGAUAUCACGAAGAACUCCGAUUGCGAAGGCAGCCUGCUAAGCUGCAACUGACAUUGAGGCUCGAAAGUGUGGGUAUCAAACAGGAUUAGAUACCCUGGUAGUCCACACGGUAAACGAUGAAUACUCGCUGUUUGCGAUAUACAGCAAGCGGCCAAGCGAAAGCGUUAAGUAUUCCACCUGGGGAGUACGCCGGCAACGGUGAAACUCAAAGGAAUUGACGGGGGCCCGCACAAGCGGAGGAACAUGUGGUUUAAUUCGAUGAUACGCGAGGAACCUUACCCGGGCUUAAAUUGCAGAUGAAUUACGGUGAAAGCCGUAAGCCGCAAGGCAUCUGUGAAGGUGCUGCAUGGUUGUCGUCAGCUCGUGCCGUGAGGUGUCGGCUUAAGUGCCAUAACGAGCGCAACCCUUGUUGUCAGUUACUAACAGGUUCCGCUGAGGACUCUGACAAGACUGCCAUCGUAAGAUGUGAGGAAGGUGGGGAUGACGUCAAAUCAGCACGGCCCUUACGUCCGGGGCUACACACGUGUUACAAUGGGGGGUACAGAGGGCCGCUACCACGCGAGUGGAUGCCAAUCCCCAAAACCUCUCUCAGUUCGGACUGGAGUCUGCAACCCGACUCCACGAAGCUGGAUUCGCUAGUAAUCGCGCAUCAGCCACGGCGCGGUGAAUACGUUCCCGGGCCUUGUACACAC
This 1377-nucleotide ribosomal RNA is filed under the name uncultured bacterium. RNAcentral describes it as "bacterial SSU rRNA". It matches the Rfam family "Bacterial small subunit ribosomal RNA", at positions 18 to 1390 of the family's 1533-position model. The record is from RNAcentral.